CUUCCUGCAAAAAUCAUAAUAUACUCGUAGUUAACGGCUAUCAGAAUAUUAAUCUGACCAGUCCAACAACGAGAAUAUUACACUGGCGCAGUCGAGUACGGAACUUUCAAGGAGUUAGAAGCGAGUCAAGCAGUCAACGCGGCGGAUUUCAACUUCUGGGGUCGAGGCGAGCAGUCAAUUCAACGUCAGAGGUCCAGUUCCGGUGCAGCGACUACUAUCAACGUUUCAACUCCACGGAGGCAGCUCACACGAGUCACAGUCGAGGACCGAUCACCCUUGACAACUCCGGAGAGAAAGAACGAGUCAAGCAAGCAGAGACAGACAAAUAGACAGAAUGGCCCAAGCAGUUGGAGCAACAGUAUUGUUUUAUUUAAUAACAGCAAUUCAAAGUCAACUUCCCUAU
This 403-nucleotide unclassified non-coding RNA is filed under the name Acyrthosiphon pisum (pea aphid). Its description in RNAcentral is "uncharacterized LOC107885241, transcript variant X2". The record is from RNAcentral. Lineage: Eukaryota; Metazoa; Arthropoda; Insecta; Hemiptera; Aphididae.